Molecule: ribosomal RNA, 184 nt
Filed under: uncultured bacterium
Lineage: Bacteria
Description: partial 16S ribosomal RNA
Rfam family: Bacterial small subunit ribosomal RNA
Source: RNAcentral
GGCUGCAACUCGCCUACAUGAAGUUGGAAUUGCUAGUAAUCAUAGGUCAGCAUACUAUGGUGAAUACGUUCCCGGGCCUUGUACACACCGCCCGUCACACCAUGAGAGUUGAGAAUACCCGAAGCCCAUGUCAAAGUGGUCGAAGGUAGGCUUGAUGAUUGGGGUGAAGUCGUAACAAGGUAGC